RNAcentral lists this ribosomal RNA (19 nucleotides) under Jesmurraya novozelandica. RNAcentral's name for it is "partial 28S ribosomal RNA". The record is from RNAcentral. Lineage: Eukaryota; Fungi; Ascomycota; Lecanoromycetes; Teloschistales; Teloschistaceae.
UUGUCCUCGGAUCAGGUAG